RNAcentral lists this ribosomal RNA (253 nucleotides) under uncultured bacterium. Its description in RNAcentral is "partial 16S ribosomal RNA". It matches the Rfam family "Bacterial small subunit ribosomal RNA", at positions 524 to 776 of the family's 1533-position model. The record is from RNAcentral.
UACGUAGGGUGCAAGCGUUAUCCGGAAUCACUGGGCGUAAAGCGUGCGUAGGUGGCGCGUUAAGUGAGAUGUUAAAUCGUGUGGCUCAACCAUAUCGAUGCAUCUCAUACUGGCGUGCUAGAGGACGGCAGAGGCAAGUGGAAUUGGUAGUGUAGCAGUGAAAUGCGUAGAUAUUACCAGGAACACCAAUGGCGAAGGCAGCGUGCUGGGCCACUCCUGACACUGAGGUACGAAAGCGUGGGGAGCGAACAGG